Molecule: long non-coding RNA, 209 nt
Organism: Sinocyclocheilus rhinocerous
Lineage: Eukaryota; Metazoa; Chordata; Actinopteri; Cypriniformes; Cyprinidae
Exons: 3
Source: RefSeq, a predicted model, not a curated record
GAAAAUAUCUAGACAUUAUGAACCAUAUGACUUAGGCUGAAAAUCAUCAAUAAACCACAAGAGUUUAGCUCCAACCCAAAUUAAGCAGACCUGAGCAGCUGAUCAAGGAUCACCAGAAACUCUGCAGAACGUUGGUCCUCCAUGCCCAGGACUGGACACCAGUGUUGUAAGUCAUCAAUCUAGCAGUCAUCCUGCCUCUCUGAAUUGUC